This 1449-nucleotide long non-coding RNA is filed under the name Mus musculus (house mouse). RNAcentral's name for it is "long non-coding RNA chrX:84550031-84551480". The record is from RNAcentral. Lineage: Eukaryota; Metazoa; Chordata; Mammalia; Rodentia; Muridae.
AAAGAGGUAGUGGCAGGUCUAAGAGGAGUAAAGAAGAAGGGGACAUGUAACAUACAUGUAUAAAAUUCUCAAAGAAUUGAUAAAAAUAUUUCAUUUAAAAUAUCAACAAGCCAAAAACAAACAAACAAACAAAUAAAUAAAUAGUAGCUGGUGAAUCCAGUAAAAGGCUGGGAAGUCAGAGUAGAAGAAUGUAAUCCAGAAACACAUUACCACUCAAGGUGUGAAGGGACAUGCUUACUUAUAUACUUUUCUAUUUAUGGGAAAGAUAUUAUAUGUGAAUUAAGUUUAAUGUGUUAAAGUUUUGGAAUAACCAAUCCAAUUUUAAUAUCUUAAAAUUAUAUCAGGACUUAGUAUUAGUUUAUGAUGGCCAAAAAGUGACAUGAAAUUUACCUAUACAACAGGAAAGUUAAACAAAGAGGAAGAAAUUAAGGUAGUAAAUCCUUACUAAUUUUCAUAAAAUUUAUGCAUUUUUAGAUUUUUAAAAAUAAAUCUAUAAAAAGAUUCAUAUCACUAUUCACAGAAAUGCAAUAUAAUAAAUUAUUAACAAAUCCAAUAUAUUAUAAUCAAUUAUCACUGAAAUAGAAUACAUGAAUAAAUUAGAAUAAUCUGUGUACUGGCUGGUUUUGUGUAUCAACUUGACACAAACUGGAGUUAUCACAGAGAAAGGAGCAUCCCUUGAGGAAAUGCCUCCAAAAAUCCAGCUGUAAGGCAUUUCUCAAUUAGUGAUCAAAGGUGGGAGGACCCAGCCCACUAUGGGUGGUAUCAUCCCUGGGCUGGUAGUCCAGGGUUCUAUAAGAAAGCAAGGUGAGACAAACCAGGGAAAGCAAGCCAGUAAGUAGCUCACCUCUACCUCCGUGGCCUCUGCAUCAUCUCCUGCCCCCUGUUUCCUGCCCUGUGUGAGUUCAUUUCCUUACUUCCUUUGGUAAUGAACAGCAGUGUGGAAGUGUAAGCUGAAUAAAACUUUUCCUCUUCAUCUUGCUCCUUGGUCAUGAUGUUUUUUGCAGGAAUAGAAACGCUGACUAAGACAAUCUACAGUCUAAAAAUAAUAAUAAUUCUUGUGAGUGAUAUGAGAGUUUGAGAACUUGUGUGACCUAAGGACAGUAAGUUGUGUAGCUGGAAUUAUGAAGGAUUAUGGAAGAAACCUGACUGCUAAGUAAGAUGGCAAUGGUAGUAGAGGAAGCUUGCUAUAUUGUACAGAUCUGGGAGUAAAUUUUCUAUUAUCUUAAAGUAUGCUUCCAUGAGACAGUUAUAAUGUGAUAAAUUGGUAGAUACCAUCAAGAAUUAGACGAAUGGCAUGUAAUGUAUCUAUCACAUGAAUACCAGGAUUGGACAUAUAGCUGUGCAACAUUUUUUUUUGGCAUUUUCUUACUUAAAUCUAUUUAUUCCCCUCCAAGAAGAAGUUAUUUCAUUUUCGGGAUAGCAUUUGAAAUGUAUAUAAAGAAAAUACCU